Copidosoma floridanum is the source of this 565-nucleotide long non-coding RNA. RefSeq lists it as uncharacterized. The record is from RefSeq and is a predicted model, not a curated record. NCBI's taxonomy places the organism in Eukaryota, Metazoa, Arthropoda, Insecta, Hymenoptera, Encyrtidae.
UCUUCGCCAUUUUACUUUUGGGCAUCAUGACACUCAGUCCAUAAAUGUAGUAUAUUGCAUUUAAAGUUGCACAGUUUUAUAAAUUUUUGUUUAAACGCACACAACAAACAUUCAUUAUUAAGCAACUUGUAUUUAAUCAUUUUGGAUGUCUUGAAAAGAUCUGUUCAGAAUCAUACUCCAACAAAUUAACGCCCAUGAAUCAAUUAAGAAUGAGAAUGAAAAUAAGGCACGGUCUAUUGUUUACACACCUCGUCAAUCACAGAACACAAAACACAAGAAGAGAUGAGUGAUGGCCCUAUUUCGUGAACAGUGAUGAGAUCUCAACUGAAGUAUAAUUGGAAGAUGUAAUCCAUGAAACGAACUGUAAAAUAAGAUCUUAAGCAUCAUGCAGUUACAUUUUCACAACAUAGAUACACUAUUUGUCAAUAAAUUGCAUCUCAACAAGAAUACCGAAGUCUUCGAAAAAAUGAUAGCCAACAGGUAUUAAAUUUUAAGGAUAGUUCAUUUUGAAAUUACAAAGUGAGUGUAGGUGUGAGAAGUGAUUGAUCUAAUUUAUUUAACUGAA